This 354-nucleotide ribosomal RNA is filed under the name Triticum aestivum (bread wheat). RNAcentral's name for it is "partial small subunit ribosomal RNA". The record is from RNAcentral. Lineage: Eukaryota; Viridiplantae; Streptophyta; Magnoliopsida; Poales; Poaceae.
AUGAGGCGCUAUGGAAUAAUCAUGUUCUUAUGUUCAGUCAAUUUAUGUAAUUUUCAUGUAUGUCCUGCAAAAAUUGUUUUGCCGGCUCACUUACCUGAUUUGUUCAAUGCCCCAAAAGCGAUACAAGAAUUUGACCAAGACGCAAGACAAAACUUGUGCCAAAACAUAAGGUUACAAGCAUAUAUAAGAUCAACACAGCAAUUGGCAUUCUGUGGAACAAACGUUCUUUACAGCAGUAUGCUACGUAUAACCAUUGGCUUCGGCGGGAGGCCACUAUAUUGCAACUCCAAACAUUCUUUACAGCAGUAUUCUAACCAUUGGCUUCGGCAGCCACUAUAUUGCAGUUCCAGUUAG